RNAcentral lists this ribosomal RNA (468 nucleotides) under uncultured bacterium. RNAcentral describes it as "partial 16S ribosomal RNA". It matches the Rfam family "Bacterial small subunit ribosomal RNA", at positions 28 to 507 of the family's 1533-position model. The record is from RNAcentral.
GACGAACGCUGGCGGCGUGCUUAACACAUGCAAGUCGAACGGAAAGGCCCUGCUUUUGUGGGGUGCUCGAGUGGCGAACGGGUGAGUAACACGUGAGUAACCUGCCCUUGACUUUGGGAUAACUUCAGGAAACUGGGGCUCAUACCCGAUAGGAGCUCCUGCUGCAUGGUGGGGGUUGGAAAGUUUCGGCGGUUGGGGAUGGACUCGCGGCUUAUCAGCUUGUUUGUGGGGUAGUGGCUUACCAAGGCUUUGACGGGUAGCCGGCCUGAGAGGGUGACCGGCGACAUUGGGACUGAGAUACGGCCCAGACUCCUACGGGAGGCAGCAGUGGGGAAUAUUGCAGGAGGGGCGGAAGCCUGAUGCAGCAGCGCCGCGUGCGGGAUAACGGCCUUCGGGUUGUAAACCGCUUUCGCCUGUGACGAAGCGUGAGUGACGGUAAUGGGUAAAGAAGCACCGGCUAACUACGUG